AAAUAUCUCUUGAAUAUUUUUUAAUUAAUCAAUAAAUAAUUGCUACAUAUUUUAAUUGUUAUAUAUCGAUAAUAUUCAACCAUUAUUUUUCUUUUAGUACAAUUAACUUCAACGGUGACUCAAAUUACAAACAAGAAUUUUCCUUUUCCUAUAUGCUGCCGUUAGUUUGCAUUGUAUAGUAUUCACUAGAUAUAUUGCCACCGCUUGGUAAUAGUUGGAGAUAUGUUACACUCUGUAGUCAAAACUUUCAUGAAAAUUCCUUAUUAUAGUCUCAUUUUUCCACCAGG
RNAcentral lists this unclassified non-coding RNA (287 nucleotides) under Hevea brasiliensis (rubber tree). Lineage: Eukaryota; Viridiplantae; Streptophyta; Magnoliopsida; Malpighiales; Euphorbiaceae. The record is from RNAcentral.